RNAcentral lists this ribosomal RNA (1373 nucleotides) under uncultured bacterium. RNAcentral's name for it is "bacterial SSU rRNA". It matches the Rfam family "Bacterial small subunit ribosomal RNA", at positions 28 to 1381 of the family's 1533-position model. The record is from RNAcentral.
GAUGAACGCUGGCGGCGUGCCUAAUACAUGCAAGUCGAGCGAACGGACGAGAAGCUUGCUUCUCUGAUGUUAGCGGCGGACGGGUGAGUAACACGUGGAUAACCUACCUAUAAGACUGGGAUAACUUCGGGAAACCGGAGCUAAUACCGGAUAAUAUUUUGAACCGCAUGGUUCAAAAGUGAAAGACGGUCUUGCUGUCACUUAUAGAUGGAUCCGCGCUGCAUUAGCUAGUUGGUAAGGUAACGGCUUACCAAGGCAACGAUGCAUAGCCGACCUGAGAGGGUGAUCGGCCACACUGGAACUGAGACACGGUCCAGACUCCUACGGGAGGCAGCAGUAGGGAAUCUUCCGCAAUGGGCGAAAGCCUGACGGAGCAACGCCGCGUGAGUGAUGAAGGUCUUCGGAUCGUAAAACUCUGUUAUUAGGGAAGAACAUAUGUGUAAGUAACUGUGCACAUCUUGACGGUACCUAAUCAGAAAGCCACGGCUAACUACGUGCCAGCAGCCGCGGUAAUACGUAGGUGGCAAGCGUUAUCCGGAAUUAUUGGGCGUAAAGCGCGCGUAGGCGGUUUUUUAAGUCUGAUGUGAAAGCCCACGGCUCAACCGUGGAGGGUCAUUGGAAACUGGAAAACUUGAGUGCAGAAGAGGAAAGUGGAAUUCCAUGUGUAGCGGUGAAAUGCGCAGAGAUAUGGAGGAACACCAGUGGCGAAGGCGACUUUCUGGUCUGUAACUGACGCUGAUGUGCGAAAGCGUGGGGAUCAAACAGGAUUAGAUACCCUGGUAGUCCACGCCGUAAACGAUGAGUGCUAAGUGUUAGGGGGUUUCCGCCCCUUAGUGCUGCAGCUAACGCAUUAAGCACUCCGCCUGGGGAGUACGACCGCAAGGUUGAAACUCAAAGGAAUUGACGGGGACCCGCACAAGCGGUGGAGCAUGUGGUUUAAUUCGAAGCAACGCGAAGAACCUUACCAAAUCUUGACAUCCUUUGACAACUCUAGAGAUAGAGCCUUCCCCUUCGGGGGGGCAAAGUGACAGGUGGUGCAUGGUUGUCGUCAGCUCGUGUCGUGAGAUGUUGGGUUAAGUCCCGCAACGAGCGCAACCCUUAAGCUUAGUUGCCAUCAUUAAGUUGGGCACUCUAAGUUGACUGCCGGUGACAAACCGGAGGAAGGUGGGGAUGACGUCAAAUCAUCAUGCCCCUUAUGAUUUGGGCUACACACGUGCUACAAUGGACAAUACAAAGGGUAGCGAAACCGCGAGGUCAAGCAAAUCCCAUAAAGUUGUUCUCAGUUCGGAUUGUAGUCUGCAACUCGACUACAUGAAGCUGGAAUCGCUAGUAAUCGUAGAUCAGCAUGCUACGGUGAAUACGUUCCCGGGUCU